This 72-nucleotide transfer RNA is filed under the name Camelus bactrianus (Bactrian camel). It matches the Rfam family "tRNA". Rfam says of the family: Transfer RNA (tRNA) molecules are approximately 80 nucleotides in length. Lineage: Eukaryota; Metazoa; Chordata; Mammalia; Artiodactyla; Camelidae. The record is from Rfam by way of RNAcentral. RNAcentral also lists the same sequence under 2 other names.
GUGUGUAUAACUCAGUGGUAGAGUGCAUGCUUAGCGUGCAUAAGGUCCUGGGUUCAAUCUCCAGCACCUCCA